Molecule: unclassified non-coding RNA, 309 nt
Filed under: plant metagenome
Description: partial contains 5.8S ribosomal RNA, internal transcribed spacer 2, and large subunit ribosomal RNA
Rfam family: 5.8S ribosomal RNA (bases 1-105)
Source: RNAcentral
GAAAUGCGAUAAGUAAUGUGAAUUGCAGAAUUCAGUGAAUCAUCGAAUUUUUGAACGCACAUUGCGCCCCUUGGUAUUCCAUGGGGCAUGCCUGUUCGAGCGUCAUUUGUACCCUCAAGCUCUGCUUGGUGUUGGGUGUUUGUCCCGUCUCCGCGCGUGGACUCGCCCCAAAGUGAUUGGCAGCCGGCGUACUGGUCCCGGAGCGCAGCACAUGUCGCGCAAACGAGUGCCUUGGUACGGCGGCGUCCAUAAGCCCCUCUCUCACGCUCUUGACCUCGGAUCAGGUAGGGAUACCCGCUGAACUUAAGC